RNAcentral lists this ribosomal RNA (489 nucleotides) under uncultured bacterium. RNAcentral describes it as "bacterial SSU rRNA". It matches the Rfam family "Bacterial small subunit ribosomal RNA", at positions 28 to 511 of the family's 1533-position model. The record is from RNAcentral.
GAUGAACGCUAGCUACAGGCUUAACACAUGCAAGUCGAGGGGCAGCACGGUGUAGCAAUACAUGGGUGGCGACCGGCGCACGGGUGCGUAACGCGUAUCCAACUUUCCCGAUACUCUUGGAUAGCCUUCCGAAAGGGAGAUUAAUACAAGAUGGUGUUUCACUUUCGCAUGUCAUUGAAACUAAAGAUUUAUCGGUAUCGGAUAGGGAUGCGUGACAUUAGGUAGAUGGCGGGGUAACGGCCCACCAUGCCCACGAUGUCUAGGGGUUCUGAGAGGAAGGUCCCCCACACUGGAACUGAGACACGGUCCAGACUCCUACGGGAGGCAGCAGUGAGGAAUAUUGGUCAAUGGUCUGACGACUGAACCAGCCAUGCCGCGUGAAGGUCACGGCCCUAUGGGUCUUAAACUUCUUUUGUAAGGGAGCAAUAAGUCUCACGUGUGGGAUGAUGAGAGUACCUUACGAAUAAGCAUCGGCUAACUCCGUGCCAG